UGCUGCCGCUCUGACGUGCAGAGGCUCAGGAUACAGACACCUUCGACAACAUCAGAGACACAGUGACGGACUUCGGCAGGAACGUGGCUGAAAAGGCCAAGGACACCUUCCACACCAUAAAGAACAGCGAGUUCGCCCAGCAAACACAUAACUGGUUCUCGGAGAACUUUGAGAAGCUCAAGAACAAGUUUUCGGAAUUGUCCCAAAACUAAAAGAAACUGGUCCGUGUCUUCAGUUCCCCACCACCCAUCCCUCUACCACCCACAAGGCUGCUGACCUCAACAUGCUGAGAGGCUGAAAUGCUUUGAUUUUCAUGUUGGCCAGAUUAAACAGUUUGCAAUCUUUUAAAAUGUAAACAAAGGUGCAAUAAAAACAUCAAAAUAUAUA
This is a long non-coding RNA of Austrofundulus limnaeus, 387 nucleotides long. RefSeq lists it as uncharacterized. NCBI's taxonomy places the organism in Eukaryota, Metazoa, Chordata, Actinopteri, Cyprinodontiformes, Rivulidae. The transcript has 2 exons. The record is from RefSeq and is a predicted model, not a curated record.